UUUCCGUAGGUGAACCUGCGGAAGGACCAUUAUUGUAUAACCGAGGUGCGAGGGCUGUCGCUGACCCGAAAGGUCGUGCACGCCCGAGUGCCCUCACACACAUCCAUCUCACCCCUAUGUGCACCACCGCGUGGGUCCCCCUUCGGGAUCAUCUCGGAGGGGGGCUCGCGUUUUCACACAAACCCCCCUUUUAAAAGUGUAGAAUGACCACAUUUAUGCAAUCAAUACAACUUUCAACAACGGAUCUCUUGGCUCUC
This 257-nucleotide unclassified non-coding RNA is filed under the name plant metagenome. Its description in RNAcentral is "partial contains small subunit ribosomal RNA, internal transcribed spacer 1, and 5.8S ribosomal RNA". The record is from RNAcentral.